Molecule: ribosomal RNA, 253 nt
Filed under: uncultured bacterium
Lineage: Bacteria
Description: partial 16S ribosomal RNA
Rfam family: Bacterial small subunit ribosomal RNA
Source: RNAcentral
UACGAAGGGGGCUAGCGGUGCUCGGAAUCACUGGGCGUAAAGGGUGCGCAGGCGGGUCUUUAAGUCAGGGGUGAAAUCCUGGAGCUCAACUCCAGAACUGCCUUUGAUACUGAGAGGCUCGAGUCCGGGAGAGGUGAGUGGAACUGCGAGUGUAGAGGUGAAAUUCGUAGAUAUUCGCAAGAACACCAGUGGCGAAGGCGGCUCACUGGCCCGGUACUGACGCUGAGGUGCGAAAGCGUGGGGAGCAAACAGG